RNAcentral lists this ribosomal RNA (278 nucleotides) under uncultured prokaryote. RNAcentral describes it as "partial 16S ribosomal RNA". It matches the Rfam family "Bacterial small subunit ribosomal RNA", at positions 524 to 801 of the family's 1533-position model. The record is from RNAcentral.
CACGGGGGUUGCAAGCGUUGUCCGGAAUUACUAGGCGUAAAGGGCAGGUAGGCGGAUCCAUAAGUUUAUCGUUUAAGGCGUCGGCUUAACCGGCGUAGGGCGGUAGAUACUGUGGAUCUGGAAUGCGGUUGGGGAAGACAGAAUUCCUGGUGUAGCGGUGGAAUGCGCAGAGAUCAGGAGGAAUACCGAAGGCGAAGGCAGUCUUCCAAGCCGUUAUUGACGCUCAACUGCGAAGGUGUGGGUAUCAAACAGGAUUAGAUACCCUGGUAGUCCCUGAG